This 460-nucleotide ribosomal RNA is filed under the name uncultured bacterium. Its description in RNAcentral is "partial 16S ribosomal RNA". It matches the Rfam family "Bacterial small subunit ribosomal RNA", at positions 338 to 795 of the family's 1533-position model. The record is from RNAcentral.
CCUACGGGAGGCUGCAGUGAGGAAUAUUGGUCAAUGGACGAGAGUCUGAACCAGCCAAGUAGUGUGAAGGAUGACUGCCCUAUGGGUUGUAAACUUCUUUUAUAUGGGAAUAAAAUGUUCCACGUGUGGGAUUUUGUAUGUACCAUAUGAAUAAGGAUCGGCUAACUCCGUGCCAGCAGCCGCGGUAAUACGGAGGAUCCGAGCGUUAUCCGGAUUUAUUGGGUUUAAAGGGAGCGUAGGUGGAUUGUUAAGUCAGUUGUGAAAGUUUGCGGCUCAACCGUAGAAUUGCAGUUGAAACUGGUAGACUAGAGAACAGUAGAGGUAGGCGGAAUGUGUGGUGUAGCGGUGAAAUGCUUAGAUAUCACGAAGAACUCCGAUUGCGAAGGCAGUUCACUGAACUGCAACUGACACUGAGGCUCGAAAGUGUGGGUAGCAAACAGGAUUAGAUACCCUAGUAGUC